Molecule: ribosomal RNA, 838 nt
Filed under: uncultured bacterium
Lineage: Bacteria
Description: bacterial SSU rRNA
Rfam family: Bacterial small subunit ribosomal RNA
Source: RNAcentral
UACGAGGGAUGCAAGCGUUAUCCGGAAUUAUUGGGCGUAAAGCGUUUGUAGGCGGGCGAGUGUGUUUAAUGUUAAAUCUUAAAGCUCAACUUUGAAAUUGCGUUAAAAACUGCUUGUCUUGAGUAUGGUAGGGGUAAAGGGAAUUCCCAGUGUAGCGGUGAAAUGCGUAGAUAUUGGGAAGAACACUAAACAGCGAAGGCACUUUACUAGGCUAAUACUGACGCUGAGAAACGAAAGGUAAGGUAGCGAAACGGAUUAGAUACCCGUGUAGUCUUACCCGUAAACUAUGGACACUAAACGGUAAAUUUUUAAUUUACUGUUAAAGCUAACGCGUUAAGUGUCCCGCCUGGGGAGUAUGCUUGCAAAAGUGAAACUCAAAGGAAUUGACGGGGGCCCGCACAAGCGGUGGAGCAUGUGGUUUAAUUCGACGGUACACGAAGAACCUUACCAGGAUUUGACAUGCUAGAUAGUUGCUUGAAAGAGUAACGUGCCGUAAGGAAUCUAGACACAGGUGGUGCAUGGCUGUCGUCAGUUCGUGUUGUGAAAUGUUGGGUUAAGUCCCGCAACGAACGCAACCCUUGUCUUUAGUUAUUUUCUAAAGAGACUGCCUGUAAUAAACAGGAGGAAGGUAAGGAUGAGGUCAAGUCAUCAUGCCCCUUAUGUCCUGGGCUACACACGUGCUACAAUGGGAAAGACAAUGAGCUGCAAAUCUGUAAAUUUAAACAAAUCUCUUAAACUUUCUCGUAGUUCGGAUUGUGGGCUGCAACUCGCCCACAUGAAGUUGGAAUCGCUAGUAAUCGCCAGUCAGCUAUAUGGCGGUGAAUCCGUUCCCGGGCCU